GUGAAUCAUCGAAUCUUUGAACGCAAAUUGCGCUUCCUAGCAUCCCGGGAAGUAUGCCUGUUUGAGGGUCAGUAUUAACAAAAAAAUCGGGUUGGUUGCAAAUUGGGGAGUUUCCGGAGUUUGGGGCAUCUUAACUUUUUUGGGUAAGGGGCUUAAAAUUGACCUUUUUUGCGCAUUUUUAGACGGAAAUUAAUUUUUUUUUUUUCGUUUAUUCUUUAUUCC
RNAcentral lists this unclassified non-coding RNA (222 nucleotides) under Glomeraceae sp. Its description in RNAcentral is "partial contains 5.8S ribosomal RNA and internal transcribed spacer 2". The stretch from base 1 to 71 matches the Rfam family "5.8S ribosomal RNA", at positions 84 to 154 of the family's 154-position model. Lineage: Eukaryota; Fungi; Glomeromycota; Glomeromycetes; Glomerales; Glomeraceae. The record is from RNAcentral.